Molecule: ribosomal RNA, 252 nt
Filed under: uncultured bacterium
Lineage: Bacteria
Description: partial 16S ribosomal RNA
Rfam family: Bacterial small subunit ribosomal RNA
Source: RNAcentral
UACGUAGGUGGCGAGCGUUGUCCGGAAUUAUUGGGCGUAAAGCGCAUGUAGGCGGGAAUAUAAGUCUGUUGUGAAAAUGCGGGGCUCAACCCCGUAUUGCAAUGGAAACUGUAUUUCUUGAGUGCAGGAGAGGAAAGGGGAAUUCCCAGUGUAGCGGUGAAAUGCGUAGAUAUUGGGAGGAACACCAGUGGCGAAGGCGCCUUUCUGGACUGUGUCUGACGCUGAGAUGCGAAAGCCAGGGGAGCGAACGGG